RNAcentral lists this transfer RNA (85 nucleotides) under Thermoplasmatota archaeon. RNAcentral's name for it is "Candidatus Thermoplasmatota archaeon tRNA-Leu". It matches the Rfam family "tRNA". From Rfam's summary of the family: Transfer RNA (tRNA) molecules are approximately 80 nucleotides in length. The record is from RNAcentral. Lineage: Archaea; Methanobacteriati; Thermoplasmatota.
GCAGGGGUAGCCAAGCCUGGUCAACGGCGACAGACUCAAGAUCUGUUCCUGUAGAGGUUCGUGGGUUCAAAUCCCUUCCCCUGCA